CCUACGGGAGGCAGCAGUGAGGAAUAUUGGUCAAUGGACGAGAGUCUGAACCAGCCAAGUAGCGUGAAGGAUGACUGCCCUAUGGGUUGUAAACUUCUUUUAUAAAGGAAUAAAACGAGGCACGUGUGCCUGUUUGCAUGUACUUUAUGAAUAAGGAUCGGCUAACUCCGUGCCAGCAGCCGCGGUAAUACGGAGGAUCCGAGCGUUAUCCGGAUUUAUUGGGUUUAAAGGGAGCGUAGAUGGGUUGUUAAGUCAGUUGUGAAAGUUUGCGGCUCAACCGUAAAAUUGCAAUUGAUACUGGCAGUCUUGAGUACAGUUGAGGUAGGCGGAAUUCGUGGUGUAGCGGUGAAAUGCUUAGAUAUCACGAAGAACCCCGAUUGCGAAGGCAGCUUACUAAACUGUGACUGACAUUGAUGCUCGAAAGUGUGGGUAUCAAACAGGAUUAGAUACCCUAGUAGUC
This 460-nucleotide ribosomal RNA is filed under the name uncultured bacterium. Its description in RNAcentral is "partial 16S ribosomal RNA". It matches the Rfam family "Bacterial small subunit ribosomal RNA", at positions 338 to 795 of the family's 1533-position model. The record is from RNAcentral.